This 484-nucleotide ribosomal RNA is filed under the name uncultured bacterium. Its description in RNAcentral is "partial 16S ribosomal RNA". It matches the Rfam family "Bacterial small subunit ribosomal RNA", at positions 28 to 507 of the family's 1533-position model. The record is from RNAcentral.
AUUGAACGCUGGCGGCAUGCUUUACACAUGCAAGUCGAACGGCAGCGCGGGCUUCGGCCUGGCGGCGAGUGGCGAACGGGUGAGUAAUGCACCGGAACGUGCCCAGCAGUGGGGGAGAGCACGGCGAAAGACGGAUUAAUACCGCAUACGACCUGAGGGUGAAAGCGGGGGGCCGAAAGGCCUCGCGCUAUUGGGGCGGCCGAUGUCGGAUUAGCUAGUUGGUGGGGUAAAGGCUUACUAAGGCGACGAUCCGUAGCUGGUCUGAGAGGACGACCAGCCACACUGGGACUGAGACACGGCCCAGACUCCUACGGGAGGCAGCAGUGGGGAAUGUUGGACAAUGGGGGCAACCCUGAUCCAGCCAUGCCGCGUGCGGGAAGAAGGCCUUCGGGUUGUAAAGCGCUUUUGUUCGGGAAGAAAUCCUCUGGGCUAAUACCCCGGGGGGAUGACGGUACCGGAAGAAUAAGCACCGGCUAACUACGUG